AGAGUUUGAUCAUGGCUCAGGAUGAACGCUAGCGGCAGGCCUAAUACAUGCAAGUCGAACGGUAACAUGAGAGCUUGCUCUUGAUGACGAGCGGCGCACGGGUGCGUAACGCGUAUGCAACCUACCCUUUACUGGGGGAUAGCCCGGAGAAAUUCGGAUUAAUACCCCAUAGUACUACAAGAUGGCAUCUGAAAGUAGUUAAAGAUUUAUUGGUAAAGGAUGGGCAUGCGUGACAUUAGUUAGUUGGUGAGGUAACGGCUCACCAAGACGACGAUGUCUAGGGGUUCUGAGAGGAAGGUCCCCCACACUGGUACUGAGACACGGACCAGACUCCUACGGGAGGCAGCAGUAGGGAAUAUUGGGCAAUGGAGGCAACUCUGACCCAGCCAUGCCGCGUGCAGGAAGACAGCUUUCUGAGUUGUAAACUGCUUUUAUAUAGGAACAAAGAGGCCAUGCGUGGCAAGUUGCGUGUACUAUAUGAAUAAGCACCGGCCAACUCCGUGCCAGCAGCCGCGGUAAUACGGAGGGUGCAAGCGUUGUCCGGAUUUAUUGGGUUUAAAGGGUGCGUAGGUGGUUUUUUAAGUCAGUGGUGAAAGCCUACAGCUCAACUGUAGAGGUGCCAUUGAAACUGAAAAACUUGAGUAUGGACGAGGUAGGCGGAAUUUGUGGUGUAGCGGUGAAAUGCAUAGAUACCACAAAGAACACCAAUAGCGAAGGCAGCUUACUGGACCAUAAC
This 736-nucleotide ribosomal RNA is filed under the name uncultured bacterium. Its description in RNAcentral is "bacterial SSU rRNA". It matches the Rfam family "Bacterial small subunit ribosomal RNA", at positions 8 to 740 of the family's 1533-position model. The record is from RNAcentral.